This is a long non-coding RNA of Arachis stenosperma, 619 nucleotides long. RefSeq lists it as uncharacterized. The transcript has 3 exons. Lineage: Eukaryota; Viridiplantae; Streptophyta; Magnoliopsida; Fabales; Fabaceae. The record is from RefSeq and is a predicted model, not a curated record.
ACGAGACUGAUUAAAUCUCCUUCCGAAAUAGAGUUCUGAGUUUUCUCCCUAAACCUCUCUACCAGUGAUAAGUUGGAAUUUCUGAUGAGAAACAAACAAUUUGCAAACCCAGCAGCUUAGUCAGAUCAUGGCUUCUCCUUCUCAAACUCACCUCAAUGUUGCAAUGCGGGUCCUUCUCAAACAUCUAAAGGUCGAUUGUCAUUUUGUUUGACAAAAAGUUCAAGCGGGUGUGAUGAAAUUACUUUCAGUUCCUUCUUCUCGACAAUUGACCGACAUCCUUAUCAAAUCUUCCUCCACUCAAUCGUUUGAUGCUAAUAAAUCUUCCUAGAGAGGUCUGCUAGGGAGCACAAAAUUGGGGCAAUUGGUAAAUUUUAAAUUGCUUUUGUUACUAUAUUACCCUAUUUGGUUGCAUGUCAUUGUUUUCAUGUGUGUUUUAUGUAGAUAUUAGAUGUGCUUCUCUUGUAGGUUUAACUCUAAUGUUAUGUUUUGUGAAGCUGUUUUAGUUUCAAUAUUUGGAGAUUGAUUUCCCCAUCAUCAGUCUUCAUUAGAGCUUGAUCAUUAUUUGUAUCCCGGAUAAAGGUGAUGAAUCAGGGCCAAUCAUACUUUAUCUGGAUUUUUA